Molecule: RNA transcript, 5419 nt
Organism: Felis catus (domestic cat)
Lineage: Eukaryota; Metazoa; Chordata; Mammalia; Carnivora; Felidae
Gene: QKI
Gene name: QKI, KH domain containing RNA binding
Exons: 8
Source: RefSeq, marked provisional
AGGAGGAGGAGGAGGAAGAGGAGGAGCGGAGUCAGAGCGCGGCGGCAGCGGCAGAGGCGGCCGCGGCGGGGACCAGCCCAGAGAGACCCCGAGCCCGCGGCAGAAGCGGCGGCGGCGGCUGAGCGGGCGCGACCAGCCGAGCGAGCGGCGGCGGCCCGGCUCCUCCUCGUCCGGCGCCGAGCGGCCCGCGCCCGCACUCGGCCCGCGGAGACCCGCCUCCCGCCCGCCGGCGGCCUCGUGAGGGACGCGCCGAGCCGGCGGCCGAGGAGCGGCGGCGGGCCGGGAGCGCGUCGGGCCGCGGGCGGAAAGUGCCUGCGGGGGCGGGGAGAGCGCGGCGAGCGCGCGGUCCGGCCGCCCCGGCGCCCGGCGCGGGAGCGGAGCGGAGCGGGACGCCGAGUCCCGAGCGGCCGGCGGCCGGGGCUCCCCGCCCCUCCCUCCUCUCCGGCGGCGGCGGCGGCGGCGGCGGGCGGAGUGAGCUGCGGAGCCUGGAAUAUGGUCGGGGAAAUGGAAACGAAGGAGAAGCCGAAGCCCACCCCAGAUUACCUGAUGCAGCUGAUGAACGACAAGAAGCUCAUGAGCAGCCUGCCCAACUUCUGCGGGAUCUUCAACCACCUCGAGCGGCUGCUGGACGAAGAAAUUAGCAGAGUACGGAAAGACAUGUACAAUGACACAUUAAAUGGCAGUACAGAGAAAAGGAGUGCAGAAUUGCCUGACGCUGUGGGACCUAUUGUUCAGUUACAAGAGAAACUUUAUGUGCCUGUAAAAGAAUAUCCAGAUUUUAAUUUUGUUGGAAGAAUCCUUGGACCUAGAGGACUUACUGCUAAACAACUUGAAGCAGAAACAGGAUGUAAAAUAAUGGUCCGAGGCAAAGGCUCAAUGAGGGAUAAAAAGAAGGAGGAGCAGAAUAGAGGCAAGCCUAAUUGGGAGCAUCUCAAUGAAGACUUACACGUCUUGAUCACUGUGGAAGAUGCUCAGAACAGAGCAGAGAUCAAACUGAAGAGAGCCGUUGAGGAAGUGAAGAAAUUACUGGUACCUGCAGCCGAGGGAGAAGACAGCCUGAAGAAGAUGCAACUGAUGGAGCUCGCAAUUCUGAACGGCACCUACAGGGACGCCAACGUCAAAUCACCAGCCCUUGCCUUUUCUCUUGCAGCGACAGCCCAGGCUGCUCCGAGGAUUAUCACUGGGCCUGCGCCUGUUCUCCCACCAGCUGCCCUGCGUACUCCUACGCCAGCUGGCCCUACCAUAAUGCCUUUGAUCAGACAAAUACAGACCGCUGUCAUGCCAAACGGAACUCCUCACCCAACUGCUGCAAUAGUUCCUCCGGGGCCCGAGGCUGGUUUAAUCUACACACCCUACGAGUACCCCUACACGUUGGCGCCAGCUACAUCAAUCCUUGAGUAUCCUAUUGAACCUAGUGGUGUAUUAGGUAUGGCUUUCCCAACGAAAGGCUAAGAAUUCAAGAACGGUCUUAACUGAACCCUCAUCAGAUCUGAAUUUAACAAAUGCUUAGUCUCAGCAGCCUCUGGGGGGGUGGGGGGGAGCUUAGCCUAGCAGUCAGUGACUCACUUGCACUUUUUGCACACUGAUAGAAAGUAAAAGUAUGUUAUUAAUUUGGUUUAGUCUGUAAUCUUACAAAGUAACGGUGAUUUAUAAAGGAGUGUAUAGUGUACUGACUGCUAAGGGCACUACACUGUUUGCUUUACUAAUCACCUAAUUCAUUGCAGUUCAUACUUAUUGACUCAGAGUUUCGAACCACAAUCUGUAGGCUGUAAGAAUUGCUUUUAAACCUUUUUAAGCGAUAAACUCUGGAAGUGGUCUUAAGGUUAGCAAAUAAUUGUCAGUAUUAAGCAUGGCAUUAUUGAAGUGGUCCUGCUGCGAGAAAGGCACUUCAGUGAAUAUGUGACUAGUAAAGCUGAAAUAUGUUUGGAUCUAAUAGAGUUCACGAAACACUGUACCUUGGGAUUGUGAAUGAACGCGUAAAACAGGUUAAGGCCAAGAUGUUUGAGAUGAAUGCAAUAUUAAUAGACGCAUAUAUACGCAACAUAUUAUGGUUAAUUUUAAAACUACUGUGCCUUAACAUGUUUCUUAAGAGGAAACUUUUGUAGUAAAAUGAACCUUUGAAAUCCAUUUUGAUAAACCUGCUGUUUAAUGUUUGUUUUCUUUUCCCUUGUGAAUGUUUUCUAACUUUGUCUUGGUAAUUGCAAUUUAACUAGGUGCGGUGGCUACUAAAGUUCGAAGGCACGAUAUGCGAGUCCAUCCUUACCAAAGGAUUGUGACCGCAGACCGAGCCGCCACCGGCAACUAACCUAUGACCUUCUGACCUCUGAACUCUUCACCCAAUGAUGACCUGACCAUGCCUGCCUGCUGAUCAGUUAACUGGUAAUCGCCUUUGCUUGCCUGUCGUCAGUGCAGCGAGCUGAGGCACUUGUCCGUUCGUCUUACCAUCUAACCAAACAAAAGACAAAGAAAUUGUUGUCCUCCGACUCAGCUUUUGGUUUUUCUUUCUGUUUGGGUGAAAGUGGUUCUAGAACCUGCACUGAAUAGUAGUAAAGCAAUAAGGCCCAAUUCAUCCCACAGCACUGAUCAUCUUUUCACGUCCUACCCUAAGCGAACGGUAAGAAGGCCUCACUUCAGAAGGGGAGACAGAUGGCCCUUAACUACUCAGUGACAGAGGCAGUUACUGUGAGAGACUUGUAGGAACCUUCUUCUCAUAGCGAGCACAGCUCUCUGAAUGUACCGUGUGAUGAUGCAUCAUGCAUGGACCUUUGGUCAGGGACGCCAUUGGUGAAGUGACUUCAAAAAGUAUUCAAAAUUUGAUACGCUGUUUAGUCACUACAGUGCCCUCAAAGGGCAGAAGUUGCAGCCUUUUUUAUAUUGCCUGCCAAAAUUGGAAGUAUUAGCAGUGUGCCAUGAGAGAUCAGCCUGACAAGGAAUUUUGAGAAGUAAUGCAAAGAACAAAAACUGCAACACUAUUUUUAAAAAGAUAAAUAAUAUCUGAGUUAAAAUUACUGAACCUUUAUUUUACAACCUCCUUUAAAAAAUAUACGAGAACAAGGUACAUGCAUUAUGUGUCACAUUACUGGGCAAACUGUUCAAAUAUUUUUUUUAAACCUCCCUGUAUAGAAAAAAACAAAAAUCAUUAAGGAUGUAAAAGCCAUGCUUGCCUAUUUGCUGUAUACAUGUAAUGAAAUUGUAGAUAAAAGUGUAGUGCAUUGAAACAAAUGAACAAAAAGUAGAUACUUUUACUAUACAAGGGUGCUGGUGCAGAAAAAAAUAUAUAUAUUUUUGGAAAUGUAGCAUUUUAUACUUUCAAGUGUUAUAAAAAAAAAAAAGAAAAAGAACAAAGAAACCCUUUAUUUCAUUAAAUGAUUUUUUCUGGUGGUUGUCAAGAAACAAAAGACCAAAAGAGCCUUUUUGUCUUUCUUUUUUAUUUUUUAAGUAUUGGAAUAAGUCUAAAGAAAAGAAAGUGCCUUAUUUUCCUUCAUGGUCAUUUAGUCAAGUGUCUUGUAAGAUCAGCUCCUCCCUCAGAAUACAAGUUAAUGCAUGUUUACUCAGUCGCCCGCCCAGUAUGUGAAAGAAGAUUUGAGGGGAGACCAAUGAGUUGAUGGUUUGGAUUAUAUGAUUUUUGCCACGUACCUUGAUACAAAUUUGCCAAAUCUGAUACUGUGAAAAAUUUGAUAACUUUUCUAAUGCCUGGCGAGUAAGUUUUAAAACAUCAUUCUUUUAAAAUCAUUACUGAGUGCUCUUGGUUACUGUGAUAUUUAAAGUUAGCCCAACAGGUUCUAAGAUGAAAAUUAUGUGUGAUCGGAACAUCAAUUUGCAGACAAAAUUAGAACUUUAUUUUAUUCAGAGAAGGAGGGGUGUGCUGAAUUCUUUCUUACUAAAUUGGAGAUAAAUAGUAUUCUUAGCAGACUUUUUCACAAAAAAUGAAUCUUUGUGAUUUUCCUUCAGGAUAACAGUAUUUUUUAAUGGCCCAAAUUUAACCAGACUUCUUUCUACCCUACCUGAUUACUUGGGUGGUCCGUUUCUUUGGUGGCGUUUAGUGACCCAAGCGGCCCCUCCCACCCCUCCCCCGCGCCCCCCCCCCCACACCUGUUUGUUUGUUUUCACUUUAAAAAAAAACUGGCAUCACUGUGCAUGUAAAUGCUCAACUACAUGUGACUUUAAGCUUCUGGUUUCUCACGAAUUUCAGUUUCGUAGUUGAAACGGUUUGUGCGCAGAGCCCGACCACGUCCGAACACUUGAGUAAAUCGCCCAUAACUGCUCAGUAUCAGAUGUGGCAGAUUUCAAGUGGCAGUGGAUCCCCAGCUCAUCGGCUCACUCCCUCCCGCAUCCCUUCACAGCUUCACAGUCAAAGGUCAGCAGUGAGCUCAGUAAGCACCUUCGUGGUGACCUCCGUCAUCUUGUCUCACUUGGAAACCGUUUUCAGUUCAUUUACUAUGCAAUAGACAUUCAUUGUUUUGUAUUCAGCUAGCGUUGGUUUCAUGUGCCACUGCUUUGUCUUUCUGUUACACAUACAGUCGUUUUGAUUUAUUUACGGUAUAUGCUGUGCCAUUUUGAUUUUUAUUUUGGUUGGUUGGUUGAAUAAAUUUGCGACACUCGAACACUUGAGGUGAUAGUAGUUUAAAACCAGUACCAGUAUUUGACCCAGUCUCAUCUCAACUGUGUUACACCUGGACAUUUUAGAUGUUUAUCAAAGGUCUUUUAUGGGGAAGAAAGUAAAUGUAUGGGAUAAAUGUGACGUUUCUAAGUAAUGUUGGCUCUGAACAAACUUUUGGAAACUUAGUUGAUAAAAUUUUGGAUCAACUGAAAAAAAAGCAUGACUUUUGAAAUCUCUGAAUGCCUUGGUUCUCAGUAUUAUCAUUCUUUAUUGAAUUUAUUUCUUAUUAAAAUAUGUAGUUUUUAAGACUUCUUUUCUGACAGUAUUAUGUAAUUUUUUAGCGUGGGUAGAUGGGAGUGUCGCUUGUAUGUUACCGUACAGCCGACAUGUAUUUUUGUCAAUUCUUUAUUAUCUUAGUAGUUUCAUGCUGUGUAUGUAUCAUAACCAACCUAUUGCCUAUGAGAAACAUGUAAGAUAAUGUAUUUACAGCCAUUGUUACAAGUUUAUAAUGUAUUUUUCUAUCUUGUUUUAUAUGUAUGUUAUAUAACAUUCAAAAAGAAUUUUUUUCUUGAUUGAGAAAAGGAUACAAAAUGCAGAAUCCACAAUUUUGAUAACUGAAAAUUGCCACUUGUUUUGCAGUACUUUAUUAUAUUGGGUGUCUUGUCUUUCUUGGGCUUUUAGUUUAGCUAAUGAAUGAAUACAUUAGACACUUUUGGGUUUUAGUUGGGAUUUUACAUAGCUUGCAUUUUAAUUCUUUGGUUCUUUGCUGUUUCUAUUAACCCAUAGCAUUAUUUUAAUAAAUGUUAUAAUACCAACCUA